UGGUGGCAGCUCAGGUAAUUCAGGCUUGGGAAGCUCAGGCAAUGUUACCUGAGCUGCCACCACUUCCUAAGUUUGAGCUUCCAUCAUUACCUGAACUUCCAACCUUGCCUAAACCUGAAAUUCCCACUCUUCCAAAACCUGAAUUGCCUGAGUUGCCCAAGCCUGAAGUGCCCAAAUUGCCUGAAUUACCAAAACCUGAACUGCCAACUUUUCCCCACUUGCCUGAGUUGCCAAAGCCCACAUUCCCUGCUAUUCCCACAAUUCCCAAGGACACCAAACCUCUUCAGUCAGCUACUAGUCCUUAAACAAUUAUCCCAUGCAUCUUUCAAUGUUUGAUUUCACGAUGAUGACUUCAUCUAGUUGUUGGCAUUUCCCAGCAUCAUUUAUUUCUUUAUGAGUGUCUGGUAUAUAUGUAUAUAUGUGUGUGUGUUUAUAUGCCUAAAUUGUAGUGAGAUAUAUAUGUGUGUAUGUGUGUCUGUGUGUAUAUGCCUAAAUUGUAGCGAGCGUUGGUUCUGUUCUAGGCUUGUAUUUUCUGUGCUUGUUGUUUCGGCUAUACAAGAUAUAUUGUGUUCCGAG
Molecule: unclassified non-coding RNA, 576 nt
Filed under: Hevea brasiliensis (rubber tree)
Lineage: Eukaryota; Viridiplantae; Streptophyta; Magnoliopsida; Malpighiales; Euphorbiaceae
Source: RNAcentral